UCGGGAAUUUUGGGCAAUGGGCGAAAGCCUGACCCAGCAACGCCGCGUGAAGGAUGAAGUAUUUCGGUAUGUAAACUUCGAAAGAAUAGGAAGAAUAAAUGACGGUACUAUUUAUAAGGUCCGGCUAACUACGUGCCAGCAGCCGACGGUAAUACGUAGGGACCAAGCGUUGUUCGGAUUUACUGGGCGUAAAGGGCGCGUAGGCGGCAUUUCAAGUCAUCUGUGAAAUCUCCGGGCUUAACUCGGAACGGUCAGAUGAUACUGCUUUGCUAGAGUGCAGAAGGGGCAAUCGGAAUUCUUGGUGUAGCGGUGAAAUGCGUAGAUAUCAAGAGGAACACCUGAGGUGAAGACGGGUUGCUGGGCUGACACUGACGCUGAGGCGCGAAAGCCAGGGGAGCAAACGGGAUUAGAUACCCCCGUAGUCCCUGAGCGGGCUGGCAAGGCGCAU
This 448-nucleotide ribosomal RNA is filed under the name uncultured bacterium. RNAcentral describes it as "bacterial SSU rRNA". It matches the Rfam family "Bacterial small subunit ribosomal RNA", at positions 355 to 825 of the family's 1533-position model. The record is from RNAcentral.